RNAcentral lists this ribosomal RNA (426 nucleotides) under uncultured bacterium. Its description in RNAcentral is "partial 16S ribosomal RNA". It matches the Rfam family "Bacterial small subunit ribosomal RNA", at positions 354 to 796 of the family's 1533-position model. The record is from RNAcentral.
GUGAGGAAUUUUCCGCAAUGGGCGAAAGCCUGACGGAGCAAUGCCGCGUGAAGGAUGAAGGCCUAUGGGUUGUAAACUUCUUUUCUCAGAAAAGAAUUAUGACGGUAUCUGAGGAAUAAGCAUCGGCUAACUCUGUGCCAGCAGCCGCGGUAAGACAGAGGAUGCAAGCGUUAUCCGGAAUGAUUGGGCGUAAAGCGUCUGUAGGUUGUUUAAAAAGUAUUCUGUCAAAGAUUAGGGCUUAACCCUAGAUAGGCAGAAUAAACUUUUAAGCUAGAGGUUGGUAGAGGCAGAGGGAAUUCCCGGUGGAGCGGUGAAAUGCGUAGAUAUCGGGAGGAACACCAAAGGUGAAGGCACUCUGCUGGGCCAAUACUAACACUGAGAGACGAAAGCGAGGGGAGCAAAUGGGAUUAGAUACCCGAGUAGUCC